UAUUCUGCCCCACGGGGAAGGAUGAGAAGCUUCGACUAAGGUUCGACUCGAGCGAAGCGAGAGAACGUUGCCGCAGGCAACGGCCCGAAGGGCGAGGGGCUUUAGCGCCGAGUAAUCCUUCCCCCACCACCA
This 132-nucleotide small RNA is filed under the name Klebsiella pneumoniae. RNAcentral's name for it is "RtT sRNA". It matches the Rfam family "RtT RNA". Rfam says of the family: This family represents a bacterial cis-regulatory element known as RtT RNA. Lineage: Bacteria; Pseudomonadati; Pseudomonadota; Gammaproteobacteria; Enterobacterales; Enterobacteriaceae. The record is from RNAcentral.